AUACACUGUCCACGUGUUUCUCCAGCCAAUCACAACCUCGCUUCCAGCUGUCACUCAGCUGACUCUCUCCUCACUCAUAACUGCCUCUCAGCCCUCAGCCACUUCCAACCAUCCAGCCUGCAGCUGUGCCUUUCCCACAGGGCCUUCUGGUGAACUGGCACUGGCAUGAAACAUUUCUUUCCUGACAAGGAAUUUUCUGUGCUCCCCUCUCUCUCCUAAGCACACACACAGGCUUGAGAGUAAGAAUUCAUUGUGAUAACAAGCUCAAAGAAGUGGAUCGUGCAGUCAGGACCAGAGGGGGAAGCAGUCCUGCAGCUGCAGGGAAUGCUUUGCUUCGGUGGAUGAAAUGACCUUGUCCCUCCCUGAUGGAUUUUGUGACAGGGCAAGAAGCAGCUGCGCACAGACCCUAGGGAGCUGAAAUCAGCCAGAGAAAUCCAUGGUCUGAGUCAGUCCAUGGGCUGAGAGCCUUUGGGACAGCACCUGUCCACACCAGACAAGGGAUGCUGAUCCUCAUUGUGUUCCUUGUCAAGCCUAAUUUGAGACUUUGAUGGCUUGCAGAUGUUUGGGGGUGCAGCUGACCUGACUUCCUAAAUGCACCACAUUGACCUCAAGUCCAGUGUGAUAUUCCUUCUUCACUGCUACUGUGGGAGGCAUUUCUGAUGGAGCAUCCAGCUGUGCCCCUGUGUCCCAGUCCCAGCCAAAAUUGGGGGCUCACUGACAGGAAUUUUUGAUGGAUACCUAGACUAUCAAGUUGGAGCAUCACAAUGAGCCUGAAUUCCCAGGGAUAUCACCCUGCACUGGGGGC
Long non-coding RNA from Vidua chalybeata, 805 nucleotides. RefSeq lists it as uncharacterized. Lineage: Eukaryota; Metazoa; Chordata; Aves; Passeriformes; Viduidae. The transcript is spliced from 3 exons. The record is from RefSeq and is a predicted model, not a curated record.